UACGUAGGCAGCGAGCGUUGUUCGGAAUUACUGGGCGUAAAGAGUGUGUAGGCGGUGCUCUAAGUUCGGUGUGAAAUCUCCUGGCUCAACUGGGGGGGUGCGCCGGAAACUGGAGUGCUUGAGCGUGGGAGAGGAAAGCGGAAUUCCUGGUGUAGCGGUGAAAUGCGUAGAUAUCAGGAGGAACACCAAUGGCGAAGGCAGCACUCUGGGACGUGACUGACGCUGAGACGCGAAAGCGUGGGGAGCAAACAGG
This 253-nucleotide ribosomal RNA is filed under the name uncultured bacterium. RNAcentral describes it as "partial 16S ribosomal RNA". It matches the Rfam family "Bacterial small subunit ribosomal RNA", at positions 524 to 776 of the family's 1533-position model. The record is from RNAcentral.